Molecule: transfer RNA, 61 nt
Filed under: Otolemur garnettii (small-eared galago)
Lineage: Eukaryota; Metazoa; Chordata; Mammalia; Primates; Galagidae
Rfam family: tRNA
About the family: Transfer RNA (tRNA) molecules are approximately 80 nucleotides in length.
Source: Rfam by way of RNAcentral
GUGGCUCAAAAAGGGCAGGGCACCAGCCUCAUAUGCUGGAGAUUGUGGGUUCAAACCCACC